RNAcentral lists this ribosomal RNA (459 nucleotides) under uncultured bacterium. Its description in RNAcentral is "partial 16S ribosomal RNA". It matches the Rfam family "Bacterial small subunit ribosomal RNA", at positions 338 to 795 of the family's 1533-position model. The record is from RNAcentral.
CCUACGGGUGGCAGCAGUGAGGAAUAUUGGUCAAUGGGCGCGAACCUGAACCAGCCAAGUCGCGUGAGGGAAGACGGUCCUAUGGAUUGUAAACCUCUUUUGUCGGGGAGCAAAAGACGCCACGCGUGGCGUUCCGAGAGUACCCGAAGAAAAAGCAUAGGCUAACUCCGUGCCAGCAGCCGCGGUAAUACGGAGGAUGCGAGCGUUAUCCGGAUUUAUGGGGUUUAAAGGGUGCGCAGGCGGAAUAUCAAGUCAGCGGUAAAAUUGAGAGGCUCAACCUCUUCGAGCCGUUGAACCUGGUUUUCUUGAGUGAGUGAGAAGUAUGCGGAAUGCGUGGGGUAGCGGUGAAAUGCAUAGAUAUCACGCAGCACUCCGAUUGCGAAGGCAGCAUACCGGCGCUCAACUGACGCUCAUGCACGAAAGUGUGGGUAUCGAACAGGAUUAGAUACCCGGGUAGUC